Molecule: RNA transcript, 2554 nt
Organism: Canis lupus familiaris (dog)
Lineage: Eukaryota; Metazoa; Chordata; Mammalia; Carnivora; Canidae
Exons: 4
Source: RefSeq, a predicted model, not a curated record
UGUCUAUUUGGCACUUUACUUUUUUUUUUUUUUUUUUUUUUUUCUCUUUUUGGGGAAGGGAGAAGGCGAUGCUCGGAGCAGCUAAUCCGGGCUGCAAGGCUGCACUGCAAAUGUGCAAAUGGACCCGUGCAGCCAUUAAGGAGCGCGGCCUCCCCUCUCCCUUCCCCUCCCCUCUCCCCUCCCCAGCUCUUGCACAAACGCGACCCGGACCGCUAAGUGCGUGCCACAGGUCACGAAAAAUGGGAAAUAAAGUUUGAAGCUCCUGGAGCCGUACUCCCCCACCACCACCACCCGCUCCCCUGCUCGAGGACUGCAGGGGGCACGACCCGCGCGCUCCUCCCUUCCCUCCAGGGUCGGCCUUCGUGGGAGCUGCCACGCGCUAGGCCUCUGCUGUGGAAUCUGGCUCGGUUGCUGCACCAGCUUCUGCGAGUGCGCGUGUCGGGACCCGGGCGGCGGGCAGAGCCGGUCCUGGCCUCCCAGGGCAGCCCCUCUGCAUGGCCGUGGCCUCCAGGCAACACCUGCCUCCGCAAGGCGUCAAGGCUGCAGCAAGGAGGCCCAGGCGCAGCCCAGGCGACACCUGCCUCCACAAGGCGUCAAGGCUGCAGCAAGGAGGCCCGCGUGCGCGUGCGCUAGGGACGGCCUUCCCCUCCCUUGCAGGCCUCCUCUGGGGCCGCCGCCGUGCUCCUUUCCUACCAGAUGCAAGUGCUCUUUUCCUACCAGAUGCAAGUGCUCAUUUCCUACCAAAUACAAGUGCUCCGUUCCUACCAGAUGCAAAUGCUCCUUUCCCACCAGAUGCAAGUGCUCCUUUCCCACCAAAUACAAGUGCUCCUUUCCUACCAGAUGCAAGCGCCUUUCCUACCAGAUGCAAGCGCCUUUCCUACCAGAUGCAAGUGCUCCUUUUCCACCAAAUACAAGUGCUCCUUUCCUACCAGAUGCAAGCGCCUUUCCUACCAGAUGCAAGCGCCUUUCCUAUCAGAUGCAAGUGCUCCUUUCCUACCAGAUACAAGUAUCACAAAAGAAUUGGAGUGAUUGAAGUUAUGAUAGACAUUGUUAAGGUAAAGGAGGCCUUUUUCCGAAAUUACUGCCUGGGGCCUAGAAUUUAAAUAUAUCACAGAUGGAAAUACUGUAUUAAAAAUCCUGCUUCAAAAUGACCAUGAGAUUACCCCCAGAGAAGCUGACCACCCCACAGUUUCUUCCGUUGGUAUAGUGACCAAAUUCUCCAAACCAAAAAUCAGGACACAUGGCUUGCCGCGUACUCAAGAACAAAGGGACAAACCCCAUGAAGAUAACUUCUGGAUAUUUCUGAUUUCUAAACUUAUGUUAAUGGCCUACUUGUGCUGAGCAAUCCCCUGCAAGGUGGUGGGGAGUAACAACAGAGGAAAACUAGGCCACGAGGAAUUCAGUCUGGCAAGAGUCUAGCGAGCUGGGCAUUGCGUUACAGUGUGGCGUGGCGUGGUGGGGUAGGCCGAGCAAGUGCGGGCCAGGAGCCCCUAUGGCAAUACGGACAGGUUUUCCAGAAAAAGUCACAGCCUAGCAGAUUCUUGAAGGACAGCCAUCCCUGGUGUGUCAUUCCACUUUUCCUCUGGGAAAAUGAUCCAAUCAGAGAAAGACCGGUGGAGGCUCUCAGCAACACCUGGCCUUCGUCCUGCAGAGAUCAUCCAUGAAGCCUCAAGAACUUCGUGUCGGCGGUUCCCAAGCUGUAGUUCAGGGCGGGAGAUCUUCCGCGGGCACUCACAGGUAAAAACGAGACCACUACCACGUAUCUGGGCCAAGAAACCGUCGGUGCCCCCAGCCGAGACGGAGGCGGAUGCAGUCCUGGACUGGAGACGACGCUCAGUAAGCCAGUACUCUUCCGGGACCUCUCUGCACCUGCUCCCCAAAGGGGGCCAUCCCAGUAGAAGCUUCGCUGUUCCUCACGUUUCCACCACGUGGUCACUGCUUCAUUUCCAUGAGGAAUCCCUUCUUUCCAGCUUCACUUAAUCUCAUCACCCUCCACCACUGCCCUCUUCCCGGGCCACCCUGCUCUACCCUCUUGACACCCACCAACCACCAAAUCUGUCCCUCACGUGGCAUUUCAAUUUCCUUGGCACCUCAAACUAAAGUAUUAGCUCAUUCCUUUAUUAUCCUUCGUAGUGAUGUAUUUAAACCCAAACUUAUUGCCCCCAAAUGACUUCAGAUCCCUCCAUUCCUAAAUGUUGUGAAGCUAAAAUGGUUUUACAUGGAAAACAUUUUAAACAAGUCACCGCAUUCAUUCUUUAGAGGUCUUUCAAGGCAUCCUAUCACGUCUCAGUGAAGGUCAUGUAAAGCCUCUCUCACUGGACUCUUAAUUCUAGGAAACAAACUGAGGGUGGCGGCGGGAGGGGAGGUAGGUAGGGGCAAUGGGGUUUUGGGGUGAGGGCCAUGAAGAAGGGCACGUGACGUAAGGAGCCCUGGGUGUUGCGUGCAACUGAGGAAUCCCUAAAUUCCACCCCCGGAAACUAAAAAUACGAUGUAUGUAUGUUAACUAAAUUGAAUUUAAAUUAAAAUUUAAAGAAAAUAAAAAGUAAAAAUAAAA